AUGUCAGGUGGAUCAGAGAGCUACAGUCAUGGGGGUCAGGUGAGAAACAGGAAAGAAGGAACUAUGGGGAAAUGGAGUGAAUGUCAGGUGUAUCACAGAGAUAUAGUCAUGGGGGUCAGGUGUGGUAUCCAGAAUAAUGUGGGAGGCCGGAUUGAAGUUCAGGCCAGGAACAAUGGUAAUUGUGGGAGACUCAACAAAGAGUGAGUGUAGCCAAAGGAGUCGGAGGGCAGAAAGUAUAUGCAUCAGGUAUGAGGAAGGAAAUAGAUUCUGGAAGUUAUGAGAACUGUAGAGAAUGAGUUGAGCAUAGUUUGUGAUUUUGAGGGCCUCUAAAAGUAUUAAAGCAGCGGCAGCCGCGACACACAGACAUGAGGGCUAAACUAAAAGAGUAAGGUCAAGUUGUUUGGACAGAAAGGUCCUGUAUAGCGAGGUCCCAGCUUUUGGGUAAGAAUUCUAACCACACAGCCCUGCACUUUGGCUGUGUGUAAUGAAAAAUGUUGGGAUGAGUUAGGCAGAGCUAGUGUGGGAGCAGCUUAAAAAGCUUCUAAAGAAUAAUGGGUUGUGGAGGGAGAUAUUGAGGAUAGGAGAGUAUAUGGGUUUGGCACCACGGGGUGCAGAAGUAAAAUAAUAUUACAUAACCUCUUCCAUGUAGGUACUUUUCUGGUUGAUAAGGUGCAGAUCCUGAACUAACCUGUAAGACUUAUCCAGUUUUUGGACAGGUAAAAUGGGGUAAUUGUAAGGAGAAUUUGUAGGCUUUAAAAGGCCAUGCUGUACCAGGCGAGUGAUAACAGGCUUUAAUCCUUUUAAAGCGUUAUCCUUUUAAAGCGUUUAAAACUGUGGGAUGGGAUAUUGGCAUUGAGCGGGGUAAGGGUGAUUCGGUUUUAAUGGGAUGGUAAGGGAUGCAUGAUCGGUCUCCAAGGAGGGAGUAGAGGUAUCCUAUACUUGUGGAUUAAGUUGGGGAGAUACAAGCGGAGGAUGUGAAAGAGGCUUUGAAUUGAGGAAAAGGGCAGCAAUAAAGUAUGGCUGUAGCCCAGGAAUAAUCAGGGAAGCAGAUAAUUUAGUUAAAAUGUCUCAACCUAAUAAAGGAGCUGGGCAGGUGGGGAUAACUAAAAAGGAGUGCUUAAAAGAAUGUUGUCCAAGUUGGCACCAGAGUUGGGGAGUUUUAAGAGGUUUAGAAGCCUGGCCGUCAAUACCCACAACAGUCAUGGAGGCAAGGGAAACGAGCCCGUGAAAAGAAGGUAAUGUGGAGUGGGUAGCCUCCGUAUUAAGAAGGGGAUGGACUCACCCUUCACUGUAAGAGUUACCCAAAGCAUCUGUGAUGGUCCUGUAGGCUUCUGAGGCAAUCGGAGAAGAGUCAGUCUUCAGCCACUAAGCCAAGAAGAUCUGGGAAGGAGUCAGAGAGCCUUGGGCCAGAAUUCCAGGGGCUCUGGGAGUGAUUGUUGGGUUGGAUAUUCUGAUU
Molecule: long non-coding RNA, 1456 nt
Filed under: Papio anubis (olive baboon)
Lineage: Eukaryota; Metazoa; Chordata; Mammalia; Primates; Cercopithecidae
Description: lncRNA (ENSPANG00000051035.1)
Source: RNAcentral